UUUGGGAGAUGAUGAUCUAAGUGACUUGGAGACAAUGAGACUGGUAAUCAACCUUGCAAACCUCCAUGUAAUGAGAUCAAUUUAAAUACAAAUGAGUAGACAGUCUGGGCAGGAAUUCCAUGAUAAUGGAGUAUGUGUCUACUUUCAACAAUGAGAGUAAAAGAAAAUAUUUGGAGCCCCAGUUGGGCAGGUUGGGAAUUGAGAUCCCACAAGAAACCAGGGCAAUAAGUACCAGGAGAAAAGGGGUGGAUGAAGACUUCUUGUUUUAGAAAGGAGAAGCAAACUUCUGGGCUGAGAAAUUCAUGUUUGUUAGGCUGCUAUCUAAACAUCUUGGAGAACUAAUUACACCUGCCCCCUCAAGUUUUCCACCUAAGGAGAAGCUGAAUGAGCUCUCCAGAGUAGCCACUGAGCGAUCUGAGACUAUACAGUGAUUUCUUCAUGAUCUCCCAUCCACUGCAGAAUUCAUGAAAACCACCGAAUACACCAGACUGCUCAUUGAGAAAGAAAGGACCUCUCAGUGCAUUCAACUCUUAGCCUUACUGCAGAAACAGAAGCACCAAGAAUUUGUCUGAAACAACAGUUCCUAUUUCUUGAUUGUUUUUAAAUGCCCAGUUGUUGUUAAUGUUUUUUUUUAUUAUUUGUUAAGAAAUUAUAAAUAUCAGCAUGCCUUGUGGAAAAAGAAGCUUGGGGAAGGAUGCAAGCCAAAUAUACUGUUUAUCUCUAA
Molecule: long non-coding RNA, 724 nt
Organism: Xenopus laevis (African clawed frog)
Lineage: Eukaryota; Metazoa; Chordata; Amphibia; Anura; Pipidae
Exons: 2
Source: RefSeq, a predicted model, not a curated record